RNAcentral lists this ribosomal RNA (380 nucleotides) under Klebsiella pneumoniae. RNAcentral's name for it is "bacterial SSU rRNA". It matches the Rfam family "Bacterial small subunit ribosomal RNA", at positions 559 to 927 of the family's 1533-position model. Lineage: Bacteria; Pseudomonadati; Pseudomonadota; Gammaproteobacteria; Enterobacterales; Enterobacteriaceae. The record is from RNAcentral.
CGUAAAGCGCACGCAGGCGGUUUGUUAAGUCAGAUGUGAAAUCCCCGGGCUCAACCUGGGAACUGCAUCUGAUACUGGCAAGCUUGAGUCUCGUAGAGGGGGGUAGAAUUCCAGGUGUAGCGUGAAAUGCGUAGAGAUCUGGAGGAAUACCGGUUGUGAAAGGCGGCCCCUGGACGAAGACUGACCCCUCAGGUGCCGAAGCGGUGGGGGAGCAAACAGGAUUAGAUACCUGGUAGUCCACCGCCGUAAACCGAUGUCGACUUGGAGGUUGUGCCCUUGGAGGCGGUGGCUUUCCGGAGCUAACGCGCGUUAAGUCCGACCGCCCUGGGGGAGUACGGCCGCAAGGUUAAAACUCAAAUGAAUUGACGGGGGCCCGCACA